GAGGGUAUAGCUCAAGUGGUAGAGUGCAUGCUUAACAUGCACAAGGACCUGGGUUCAAUCUCCAGUACCUCCU
Molecule: transfer RNA, 73 nt
Filed under: Camelus bactrianus (Bactrian camel)
Lineage: Eukaryota; Metazoa; Chordata; Mammalia; Artiodactyla; Camelidae
Also listed under: 2 other names
Rfam family: tRNA
About the family: Transfer RNA (tRNA) molecules are approximately 80 nucleotides in length. Their secondary structure includes four short double-helical elements and three loops (D, anti-codon, and T loops). Further hydrogen bonds mediate the characteristic L-shaped molecular structure. tRNAs have two regions of fundamental functional importance: the anti-codon, which is responsible for specific mRNA codon recognition, and the 3' end, to which the tRNAs corresponding amino acid is attached (by aminoacyl-tRNA synthetases). tRNAs cope with the degeneracy of the genetic code in two manners: having more than one tRNA (with a specific anti-codon) for a particular amino acid; and 'wobble' base-pairing, i.e. permitting non-standard base-pairing at the 3rd anti-codon position.
Source: Rfam by way of RNAcentral